Molecule: ribosomal RNA, 247 nt
Filed under: uncultured bacterium
Lineage: Bacteria
Description: partial 16S ribosomal RNA
Rfam family: Bacterial small subunit ribosomal RNA
Source: RNAcentral
AGAUGGCGACCGGCGCACGGGUGAGUAACACGUAUCCAACCUGCCGAUAACCCGGGGAUAGCCUUUCGAAAGAAAGAUUAAUACCCGAUGGCAUAAUUAGACCGCAUGGUCUUAUUAUUAAAGAAUUUCGGUUAUCGAUGGGGAUGCGUUCCAUUAGGCAGUUGGUGAGGUAACGGCUCACCAAACCUUCGAUGGAUAGGGGUUCUGAGAGGAAGGUCCCCCACAUUGGAACUGAGACACGGUCCAA